This is a long non-coding RNA of Fukomys damarensis (Damara mole-rat), 1173 nucleotides long. RefSeq lists it as uncharacterized. The transcript has 3 exons. The record is from RefSeq and is a predicted model, not a curated record. NCBI's taxonomy places the organism in Eukaryota, Metazoa, Chordata, Mammalia, Rodentia, Bathyergidae.
GCCACAGAGAUGCACCUUUGUUUUUAAAAAAGAACAGAUCAGAAAGACAAAGCCCUGUGCCUAACGGAGUAGACAUGAGGAUGUUUAUAAAAGUGUGUCUAGAAGGAAGGAUCAACCAAAGUAUUGUUUAGCUGUAAAGAAAGGUGGUCAUGCUUUCUUAGGCUACUUACUGUUAUCAUUGGAGUGAGAGAAAAUGAGGAGACAUGGUAGAAGUCGGAGUAUCUUAAUGUGAUUUGCCAAGAGAACCCUUGGAGAAGACCCAGUCCAAUGACAGAUACUCAGGCAACUGAGUUCCAGGUUCUGAGGACUGUGUGCAGCAUGGUCACCGGUCACGUGCCAGAGAGGCUGCAAAGGAUGUCUCCAGUGACUCUGCUCGUCGCAUGUGUGAUGUACAAUGGUGACAGUCCUAUUGUUCAACUGACAGCAGUGGUUUAGGAAGGCACUGAGAGAACACCCAGAGAAGGGGAGCUGCUUCUGCAAACCCAGAAUGUGAUGCUCUUUCCUAACAAACAAGGGAUUCAGAAAAUGUGAAGAGGUUGUAACCACAUGUGAACCAUGCCCAAGUGAUGUGUGAAAAACAGCUUCCUCCCAGGCCAGUCUGGAAUGUGACAUCAUCAAAAAGUGACUUUGUUUGGUACGAGACCACUGCAGCUCCAUAUCUGUAAGCUCCAGGACCAAUAUGGAAGUCAGUUUCUAGAAGCAAUGUUGCGAUAUUGAAAAAGUUUAAAGCACGUGGCUCUAGCUGACAGUUAGGGUGUCAACAGCAAGGUCACAGCCCUGGAGGCCAGGAAACAGGGGUGUUGGGGAUCAUUGUUACACAAAAGCAGACUUUCUAAUCAGACUCCCAUGUGUCAAAAUACCCCAAGAAAAAGACUGGCUGACAGUCAGUUCUUAGCUCUAAGGAAAGAAGAGGGGGACUGAAUGUCCCUAACUAUACUGGUUGAUAUUUAUUCCAUUUGGCCAAGUGUUAAAAGAGAAAAGAAAAAGAAAAAGAGAAGGAGGCAGAGACUAGAUGGACAGGGAGAAGGAAAUGGGGACAAAGAGGAAAGAAGGAGAGGGAGAGAAAGAACUUUCAAGAAGCAGGGCAAAGAAAUAACAGGUGUCUAAAAACUUGAUGCACAAAAGAGGACUUCCAGAACUGCUUCAAAAAGUGGCAAAAGGGCCAGGGAUUUG